This 1126-nucleotide long non-coding RNA is filed under the name Homo sapiens (human). RNAcentral describes it as "HSALNT0292085". The record is from RNAcentral. Lineage: Eukaryota; Metazoa; Chordata; Mammalia; Primates; Hominidae.
GUGAAAUCCUAACUUUGCCACUUACUAGCCAUGUGAACUUGGGCAAGUGACCUAAUCCUCUGCAUUUCAUCUCUAAAUUGGGGAGAAUAGAAGCAUCUACUUCAUGUAGUAGCCAGGAUUAGAAGAGAUGGGGCCACUUGAGGGAAAAGACCUACCCAAGGGCACAUAAUCUGUACAUGAGAGAGAGCCAGAUGUAACAGACUGAGUACUGGACUUGGGGUUAAACAGACUGUGAAUCUUUCCACCCCAUUGGCAAGAAUAACUGGGCCCUGGAUAGAAUGUGAUGAAUGUAUAUUCUUAAUGAGAAGUGGAAAUAAUUUGUGGUUGAGAGCUGUGCCUCAGAUCAGAGUGACAGGAUACAUGGCUAGGCUAUAUUUUCCAGCAGAUUAAGAGCUGCGGCCCAAGACUCUGAAAUAUGAAGAAAAAAGGAGAAGAUGACAGCAUAUCUUUUUAAAGAAAUAUUUUCCAGCCAAAUGGUGUAGCAGAGGACUUCCAGGAAUUUGUUCUUGUUCUGUAUCAAAGGUGAAGAGUUCGUAGCCUUCAAGGAAACAAGAAACCAUGGGAUGGAGUGAAGGAAGGUGGCCUGGAACCAGCUGCUGAGCCUCUCUGAGCCCCAGUUUCCUCGUCUCUAAAAUGGGGCUGAUCUCCUCUCCCUCAGACUGUUGUUGCAGGAAUUAAAACAGGUGUUGAGUGGGAAAGCAUCAGUCCCAUAGCAAAUGGCCCCUGAGUAGUAGGAUCUGAGUUCUGGUUCUGGUCCUGCUGGGGUAUGGCUGGUUGAGAGGUCAAAGAGGUCUGGCUAAAUGCAUGAGGAUUAAAUUCCUUAUCUAUCAGGAUCCCAUUGGCUCUCGGAUGCUUUGUGGUUCCCUCCAUCCAGAAGAUUAACUACUCCUUUUGACCAAGACUGGCCUAAUGUGGCUGAUUUUUUUUUCUGAGAAGAUGCUGCUCACUUAUGCCCCCCAUCUUUCAACUGUCUCACUGGCCACUCCACAUUCUCCCUAAUGGGGGCCCUGCAGCAGCCUCUGCUUGGCCCCCCUGCCUCCCAUCUGGCCCCCUCCAACCCACUCUCCACAUUGAAGCCAGAUUUAGUUUUUUUGCCAAAUCCAGCCAUGUCACUCGCCUAUCUAAA